RNAcentral lists this ribosomal RNA (1605 nucleotides) under Triticum aestivum (bread wheat). RNAcentral's name for it is "partial small subunit ribosomal RNA". The record is from RNAcentral. Lineage: Eukaryota; Viridiplantae; Streptophyta; Magnoliopsida; Poales; Poaceae.
AUGGAGCAAGAUUCUCAGAAGUGGUCGAUGUUACUCCAUUUGAAUCAGUGGGCUCCCCUUGAAUAUUUGGGAAUGUCGUACUCCAGUCAAAUCAGUCUCUGUGAUUGCACUGUAUAUACAAAUAAUUCAGUACAACGCUGGGUAUUGGGUGUCUCUGCAAGUAUAAGUACUGAUGCAUGGUUCAGCUUGAGAUUCCUUGGAACAGACUGUAGGCUAAUUGAUACUGAUACACAUGCAAGACGUUGGAUUUAUUUGGAUUUCAGCAACAUUGGAUUUCAGGGCCGUCAGUCCUAUUCAUGCUCUAUAUUGCACCUGAUGGCAGAAGCUGAAUAUUUUGCCCAUUGGAUUAUCAUUUAUAAGUUCUAUCGAGAGGCACUUACUCUAGCAAGGGAGUUAUGGCAUACACACCAAUUCAGAUUUUUCAGUGUCACUUUUGUUCAUCUUGUACAGUGGCACAACAUGCUUCUUGCUCAUGGAUCAGUACUCUGCACAGUGCAUAAAAGGGUGCUACAGAUUGUGGAAGAAUUAAGGGACCUCAUACCUACAAUAUUGCUUAGGAACAAUGGUUCAAAAAAUUCAGUUGCGGAGCUCACAUAUAGUACAAGUAUAUGGAAUCGAGACGGCUGCAACUUUGUGAUUUGGACGACGCCCAUCAAUGAAGAGUCGACUUCAACUGUAAUUCCACCUGUGAGAAGUUAUUUCAAUGAGUUUACAAGUUCUCGUUCACUGAUGCAUUCAGUACAUGCAUUCAGUUAUAGCAUGCCAAGUGCGACAACUCUCAAAUGGGCUACAAAAUUCGAAGCUCUUAUUCUGGGCAAGCUGUCUCAGAUCUUUUGUUCGCAAUUAGUCCAACUAAAACACCGAUGGCCUUUCUCUGUUGCAGCCAUGUCCAUUCAGCAACUCUUAUUUCGCAUGAAGACUAGUACUGAAUCUGUGACACUACUGAAGAUUUAUUCAAUAAUGUUUCAAGAUUGGAUUGCUCAUUUCCUUGGCCGUACUUCAGCUAGUGGCUAUCACCUUGGGCAGUUGUGGGAUCCCAGAGGCCUUGCAAUUAAUCUAUGCAGUACACGUGCACUGACAUUCCCAAUACAAUAUCUGAUUGAGUUCUGGAGUGCAUGUGUGCUUUAUGUAUGCACGCAAAUGAGACUGGAGAAGCCAAUGACCAGAGAUGAACUCAAUCAGUGGAUGGCCAUAAUUUUCUUCUUUGGAACAUUGAGGUUUGAUUGCAGCCUUGACACGUUGCUAGUGCUACUGGGGUUCUUGCCACCAUUUUGUUGCCAGUCAAGCAAGUCCACGAGGAGUGGGAAAAUCUGUGUGUUUGGCGCAUCUGAUGAUCUAGGGAGCUUCAUGGUUGUCCAGGGAGACUAUUGGUUUUCAGCUUCAAAUCAUGAAAAAUCAAGGGAGGGGUUUCAUCAGUGUCGCUGCCCUCUUCAUGCAAGGCAUCGUCGACCACAAGUUUUACCUCGGCCUCGACCAAGUUCCGCAUGGCAGCGCCUCAGCCACGACCGCUUCUCCAAGUUCGUUCAAGUCCACCUCGAUAAUUGCUACUUCCGUGACAAAUACCAUGAAGAAUCUGACACGAUCAAGGAUCUUCAAGCACCCUAG